ACAAAAACUUUAUCACUUACAGCAUAAAACACACAACUUGUAUUUUAGAGUGUUCCGGGUGUGGAACCUUUGAAGCUUCUUCCUCAGUUUCAGAAUUACAAGCUCCUAUCUUUCUAAAAUAAUGGCUUCACUUUCUCUCAACAUGGUUUCAGUUCCACCAAGAACAAUAACAAUCUCAUGCACAAGAACAAGGGUCCCUUCACUUCCUUUCUCAUUCACUAGGAGUAGAUUAACUAUUAGAGCAACAGAAACCGAUACAAAUAAUGAAAUUUUGGUCUUGGAAAUUCACUAACGCUGAAGUUGAUGCACUAACCUUUUCUAUUGCCAAUCUAAUAUGCACAGUCUCUUCCGGUUGCUUUCGGUACUGAAACUGCACAAUGAAUUUGUGUUGGUGCUAUUGACAUUACACAAUUAUUUGUUGCUGAUUCCCGCAAGGGGCUUAAGAUUUCAACUCUUGUUUGUAAGCAUUUACUUCAAAUUUGUUUGAUGAUCAAAAUGAUAGGUUCAUGUUGAAUUUACUAUGUUCUGAUGCCAUUAAUAAUCAGCCAUAAUAGUUCUAUUUAUUUUGCCACUUGUGUUUAUUAAUGUGAUAGAGUUAUUACUGUUAUAAUAAUGUUGAAUUUAGUGUUAUUUAUGUUGACCUAGGGAGUUUAUAUGUUAUUUUAACAUUUUCUUUUCUGCAUUGUGAAAUGACAUUCAUGUUGGUAAGAAUUCUGAUUUCUCUGAUAAAGAAAGUAUGAUAUACCUUGAUUCAGUUUACUAUUGUCCUGCUAUUACAUGGAAGCUUUGAAAAUUCAGGUUAAAAUUCUAGGCUUCUUUUUUUUUAUAAUUUUUUCCCUUUUCCCUAAUCUGUUUUUUGUUUUUGUUUUUAAUUUAUACUCCAUUAAUUGUGUUAAAAAUCCUAUAUAUUUGAACCAUUUUAAAUUUGUAAUAAUGUGUCUUCUGUGGUCUGCAUUUCUAAUAUAGUCUUCAGUUUUUGAAGAAAUUUAACUAUAUAUGCCUGGAGAUUGUAGAGAUUUUGCUUGAACAUGAAUUGCAUAAGGGAGGAAGCAAUAACUCUCACAUUGAGGUACAUGAAAAUUUGAUCCUAACUUAAUACGUUAUUUCACUAAGAUGUUUGAUACAUUAAUAUAUUGUGUAAUCAAUAAAACCAGGACAUCUAAACCAAUUAUAUGAACAGGAGUUUGGUUUCCAUGUGUACAACUAAUUUAGCAAGAGUUGAAGAUUUUUUCUAAGUAGUUUCCUUGGUGAAUCAUAUUCCCUAACAAGCUGGCAGGAUCAAAUGAAAAGAAAUCAUAUUCAAGAUUUAAAAGAAAUCAUAUGCAGUGAACGCGCUUUAUUGAUGAUCGUGAAAAAUGUUUUAGGUUUAGUUUUUCAAUUUUUCCUGCAAUCGCACUGGAUAUGGGUGGUGCAUUCAGCAACAUUCAGUUGACUCAGAUAUAUUUUGUUGUUUGUUUCUUUUGUUGUGAUUGCUAAUUUUUGCUUGUCAAGUUGAAAUUUUCUUUUGGAAAGAUCGAGUAGGAGGAAGAGGUUUGGAGCUAAGUGUUAUAAGAUAUUCUAGCUUGUAAAGGAAUUUACGCAGUUGUUAGCCUUGAUUUUCUGACUGAGAUUUUCUGCUUUAUAUCUUUUGACUUUUCUUUGAGUCUUUAGUUGGUUACAGUUUGCAUACUCUGUUGCUCUAAUUUUAUUGCUAAGUGCCAUUGUUAUAUGAAAAAUUAUCUGGAAUGAGGCAUGUGGUUGUGGACUUUAAAUGAUAUUAAAGUUGAACUCGUGAUUCAGUGGCUAUUCAGAGGCCAUGAAUUUGGAUGGAUUGUGCUGAAAGCUUCUCUUUGACUGUUUUUCCAUCAUUUCUUCAGAGGAAUGUACAUGGAAAAAAUAUGGAGUUUCUUAUGGUUUUUCAGAGUCACGUAUGUUUCUCAUAGAAGGUCUUUACAAACCCUAGUAAGGAGAGCGGAUCAGAUGGGGGAUAGUCUAAUGGCUAGAGAUUGGGGGAGACCUAGGGACCAUAGGUUUAGAUGUUGAUGGUUUAGAUAUAAAUCUGGUCUAUCACAUGUUACAAUGUCCUUCUUGGUGGGGAAGGUUCAAUUUUCCUUCUUGUGUGUUUCUCUUAUAGUAUUCCUUUUUGUCUUGGUUUUACUAAAACUGAAGUAGUGUGGGAGUAUUCUCUCCCUUCUGCUUGAAUUUCUUGGGUGAAUACGUCUAGGUGGUAAAAUGGUACAUAUACAUGGUGAACCUAUAGCAUUUUUUUUUCACAUCUCAGAUAUACUGGCAUGCUAUCUUAAGUAUACAACAGGUGAUCUUUAUACUUUUUUGCCUCAACUAAGCAACAAAAUCCACAGCUAAUGAAUGUGGGAAGGAUGGAAACUCUACAUGAUGGUGCAUAGCUUGCUAAUGUUGUUGGUUUUGUGAGUUGUAUUCAGUUGUAGAGGAGGAGCCUUGAAGAAACAGUUACGUUCUCUCUGUGGAAUCUCAAGGUCGGGUUCAAGUUACAGAAUCAGUCAUUGACAGUUAGAUCAAGAUAGAUUGCCUACAUUACACCCAUUGCCUUCCCAGAUCUUAUCAGCGUGGGAUUCUUGUUUUUUUGCAAUUGGCAUUCAGAAGGUGCGAUCUGUGUGAGUUUUUAAUUUACACUGUUUUCAAUUGUGAACUUCGACCCCCAUAAUGUUAGUUUUUAAACUCACAAGUUUGAUUUGAUAGGUUUGUACAAUACAGAGGGUAUAGAAUAUGUAGAUGUUUUGGUGCGUAAAGCAUGUAAUAUUAUAAUGUAUCACUAAUGAUCUUCAUAGCAAUAUUAGAGUGGUGACUCAAGAAGUAUAGAAGGAUACAUGUAAUGUCUGAUAUUGUGUUUGUUAUGGGUAUUGUAUUGUAUUAAGGAUUUUCAUAAACUUAUUCAGAAUUUUCAGAUAAAGAAGAGUUGGAACCGAUAGCCAUUUUACUUAGCUUUGCUAUGAUGUUAGUUCAAUUUUUCAUUCUCCAUACAUAUGUGAUAAACGUGUAUAUGGUUUAACAUAUGUCACUACUAUAUAGAUUUAUUAUUAAUUAAUAACACAUAAAAUAGAACUUCUACU
Arachis duranensis is the source of this 3068-nucleotide long non-coding RNA. RefSeq lists it as uncharacterized. The transcript has 4 exons. Lineage: Eukaryota; Viridiplantae; Streptophyta; Magnoliopsida; Fabales; Fabaceae. The record is from RefSeq and is a predicted model, not a curated record.